GAUGAACGCUGGCGGCGUGCCUAACACAUGCAAGUCGAGCGAACACAUGAUGAGCUUUCUCCUUUGACGUUAGCGGCUGACGGGCGAGUAACACGUGCAUCACAUUCUUCUUUUUCUUGGGUAAUAUCGGGAAAACGGUUACAAUAAUGGCUAAUAUGUCCUACGGCAUGGUUCAGUAGAUAAUCGCGGCUUUCCUGUCUCUAUUAGACGAUUCCGUGCCGGAUUAGCUAGUUGGUAAGGUAACGGCUUACCAAGGCAACGAUGCGUAGCCGACCUGAGAGGAUGAUCAGCCACACUGGAACUGAGACACGGUCCAGACUCCUACGGGAGGCAGCAGUGGGGAAUCUUCCACAAUGGGCGAAAGCCUGACGCAGCAACGCCGCGUGAGUGAUGAAGGUCUUCGGGUCGUAAAACUCUGUUAUUAGGGAAGAACAACUGUGUAAUUAACUAUGCACGUCUUGACGGUACCUAAUCAGAAAGCCCCGGCUAACUACGUG
RNAcentral lists this ribosomal RNA (497 nucleotides) under uncultured bacterium. Its description in RNAcentral is "partial 16S ribosomal RNA". It matches the Rfam family "Bacterial small subunit ribosomal RNA", at positions 28 to 507 of the family's 1533-position model. The record is from RNAcentral.